RNAcentral lists this ribosomal RNA (761 nucleotides) under uncultured bacterium. RNAcentral's name for it is "bacterial SSU rRNA". It matches the Rfam family "Bacterial small subunit ribosomal RNA", at positions 8 to 802 of the family's 1533-position model. The record is from RNAcentral.
AGAGUUUGAUCAUGGCUCAGAAUCAACGCUGGCGGCGCGCUUAACACAUGCAAGUCGAACGAGAAAGGUCUUUCGGGACUGAGUACAGUGGCGCACGGGUGAGUAACACGUGGAUACCUACCCUCGAGUGGGGGAUAACUCUGGGAAACUAGAGCUAAUACCGCAUACGAUCGAGAGAUGAAAGCAGCAAUGCGCUGGAGGAGGGGUUCGCGGUCGAUUAGCUAGUUGGUGAGGUAAUGGCUCACCAAGGCAACGAUCGAUAGCCGGCCUGAGAGGGCACACGGCCACACUGGCACUGAAACACGGGCCAGACUCCUACGGGAGGCAGCAGUGGGGAAUCUUGCACAAUGGAGGAAACUCUGAUGCAGCGACGCCGCGUGAGCGAAGAAGCCUUUCGGGGUGUAAAGCUCUUACGCCAGGGACGAUAAUGACGGUACCUGGAGAAGCAGCUGCGGCUAACUACGUGCCAGCAGCCGCGGUAAUACGUAGGCAGCAAGCGUUGUUCGGAAUUACUGGGCGUAAAGGGUGCGUAGGCGGUUGCCUAAGUUUGGUGUGAAAUCUCCCGGCUUAACUGGGAGGGUGCGCUGAAGACUGGGCGACUUGAGUAUGGGAGAGGAAAGCGGAAUUCCUGGUGUAGCGGUGAAAUGCGUAGAGAUCAGGAGGAACACCUGCGGUGUAGACGGCUUUCUGGACCAAGACUGACGCUGAGGCACGAAAGCGUGGGUAGCAAACAGGAUUAGAUACCCUGGUAGUCCACGCCC